CCGUAAUGCUAAGCUAUUGCUACUUGGUUCAGGAGUAUCCUUCCAAGUACCAAAAUAGGAUCCUUUCACUUAUGGAAAGGGUGGGUUUUCUAGUGACGUCUCACCUUAACCCCAUUCAGCAUAUUCUGCUGGCGUUUAUGUUGACCGGAGCGACAUGAUCUACUAUUCACAGGCAUCCCCUCAGAAUCCCUCACCCUUGAUCCACCUUCCUCUACUUUCUUCAAUAUUCAAAGAGGACCUGAGCCCUAGGACCAUGCCUCAGGACUACCUGGCAUGAUGACUCCUUGCUGUCCCCAGUCCACCUGGCCGUGCUGCUGCUCCAGUUUCAACUGUUCUGCCUGCGGCUAUGGAACCCUGACCUGUUCACCGGACGUGCUUGUUGCACCCUCG
RNAcentral lists this long non-coding RNA (390 nucleotides) under Salmo salar (Atlantic salmon). Its description in RNAcentral is "lncRNA (ENSSSAG00000109769.1, ENSSSAG00020072986.1, ENSSSAG00075039819.1)". The record is from RNAcentral. Lineage: Eukaryota; Metazoa; Chordata; Actinopteri; Salmoniformes; Salmonidae.